CUAGCGUUGUCCGGAAUCAUUGGGCGUAAAGCGCGCGUAGGCGGCCUGUUAAGUCCGGUGUGAAAGUCACAGGCUCAACCUGUGAAUGCCGCUGGAAACUGUCUGGCUAGAGUCCGGAAGGGGCGAGUGGAAUUCCUGGUGUAGCGGUGAAAUGCGCAGAUAUCAGGAGGAACACCAAUGGCGAAGGCAGCUCGCUGGGACGGUACUGACGCUGAGGCGCGAAAGCCAGGGGAGCAAACGGG
RNAcentral lists this ribosomal RNA (242 nucleotides) under uncultured bacterium. Its description in RNAcentral is "partial 16S ribosomal RNA". It matches the Rfam family "Bacterial small subunit ribosomal RNA", at positions 535 to 776 of the family's 1533-position model. The record is from RNAcentral.